UUAAAGGAAUUGACGGGGAGCACCACAAGGGUGAAGCUUGCGGUUUAAUUGGAGUCAACGCCGGAAAUCUCACCGGGAGCGACAGCAGGUUGAAAGCCAGAUUAAAGGUCUUGCUAGACGAGCUGAGAGAGGUGCAUGGCCGUCGCCAGUUCGUGCCGUGAGGUGCCCUGUUAAGUCAGGCAACGAUCGAGACCCGCGUCCUCUGUUGCUACUAGCUUUGUGCUGGGCACACUGAGGGGACCGCCACUGAUAAAGUGGAGGAAGGAGCGGGCCACGGCAGGUCAGUAUGCCCCGAAUCUCCCGGGCCACACGCGAGCUGCAAUGGCAGGUACAAUGGGUUCCGACCUCGAAAGGGGAAGGUAAUCUCGAAAGCCUGCCGUAGUUGGGAUCGAGGGUUGUAACCCACCCUCGUGAACAUGGAAUCCCUAGUAAUCGCGUGUCACUAGCGCGCGGUGAAUACGUCCCUGCUCCUU
This 473-nucleotide ribosomal RNA is filed under the name uncultured crenarchaeote. RNAcentral's name for it is "bacterial SSU rRNA". It matches the Rfam family "Archaeal small subunit ribosomal RNA", at positions 856 to 1338 of the family's 1478-position model. Lineage: Archaea; Thermoproteati; Thermoproteota. The record is from RNAcentral.